Long non-coding RNA from Bombyx mori (domestic silkworm), 5154 nucleotides. RefSeq lists it as uncharacterized. The transcript has 2 exons. Lineage: Eukaryota; Metazoa; Arthropoda; Insecta; Lepidoptera; Bombycidae. The record is from RefSeq and is a predicted model, not a curated record.
CGCAAGUGACGGGUUCGAUGAGAACGAUGACCGGGUUUGUUUUCUAAUCAACGUAAUUGCAAACAUAAUUUGGAGUAAAGUUGCCAACAUGAGGUGGGAUUUUCAACAAUCUUCAUCAUUCUAUUUGUACACGAUAUUUAACAGCUGUUACUAAGAUAAGUCAUUCUCUUUGCGCCGAAUAUAAAGAUGUAAAUUCUAGUGGCUGCCAUUGUCUCACAAAUCUAAUCUCUCCCCUACUUUUAACUCUACUUAGUACUGAACAGCAUUAUAGGGAAGUGGCAGCUAAGUCAAUGAAAGAAAAUUACUAUUAUGUUAUAACCAUCUCCGAUUUUGAAAUAGUAUUGUGUACUGGUGGUAGGUCCUCUUGUGAGUCCACACGGGUAGGUACCACCACCUUGCCUAUUUCUGCCGUGAAGCAGUAAUGCGUUUCGGUUUGAAGGGUGGGGCAGCCGUUGUAACUAUACUGAACCUUAGAACUUAUAUCUCAAGGUGGGUGGCGCAUUGACGUUGUAGAUGUCUAUGGGCUCCAGUAACUACUUAACACCAGGUGGGCUGUGAGCUCGUCCACUCAUCUAAGCAAUAAACAAAAAACUUCUGUGUUUAAAAUCGAUUCCGAACCUAUGUGCUUAGUGCGAUUUUUUUACUACUCGAUCACGUAAAAGUUAACCUAACUAAAUUAGUAUGGAGUUGGAACAGCGCCCCUGGCGGCAAACGUAGGAAUGCUGUCCAACUCCAUAAAAAUUUGACGUAACUUUUAAGCGAUCAAGACGCUAAAAAACUCACACUAAACACACUGAAAGCGUUAUUAGUUUAAAAAAAAAACAAUAAUCAGUUUUAGAACGCCUCGAUCUACGGUAGCUUACGUCGUGGAAUUAAAAAAAAAUCUAACACACGACACGAACAUAAUCUGCCAAAAUCUUUUAGACUGUAACUCGUUACAACAAAGCGAAUUGACACAAAUAUAUUUUGAGCGUGACAACAAAAGCAUUUAAUUCAAUUAAGUUUCACUUAACUAUUUUUAUUUGGCUAUCCAUUAGACUGGUUAAUUCAGUGGACGUGAUCAUAUGAAAUUUUCGUUGUUAUCCGAAACAAUAAGGUUAACAACUGCGGGAGCUCUAGUCGACUAUGGUCUACCGAAGGGAGCUCCGGAGGUGACCCACUGAUUUAUGGGGGACACAAUGAUAGAGCUGUCAAAAAGAUUAGAAAAUUUGUGUUUUAUUGCAGACCGUCUAGGUUUCAAAGACUUUUAAUAAAGACUUAUUCUGUUCAGAAUCUAGAUUAUUAAUUAUUUUUCUUUAUGAUUGUUAAGAGUAUUUGAUACCACCAGUUUUUGUGUUUUUUUUUUAUAUUUCAAUAUUCAAUAUUUUACUGGUGGUAGGACCUGUUGUGAGUCCGCGCGGGUAGGUACCACCGCCCUGCCUAUUUCUGCCGUGAAGCAGUAAUGCGUUUCGGUUUGAAGGGUGGGGUAGCCGUUGUAACUAUACUGAGACCUUACAACUUAUAUCUCAAGGUGGAUGGCGCAUUUACGUUGUAGAUGUCUAUGGGCUCCAGUAACCACUUAACACCAGGUAGGCUGUGAGCUCGUCCACCCAUCUAAGCAAUAAAAAAAAUUCAAAAAUAUUUUAAUAUUUCUAAUGUUUCUUCUUCUAAUGUUUCAAUAUCAAAAUACCAUUUAUGUCACCUGUGUGACACCUGUAUGUCACCUGUGUGACAUAAAUGGUAACAUAUUAUAACCUCCUUUAAAAUUUAUGUCAUAAAUCAUAUAGAGGUUACAUUCUUUUUUAGAAAAGAUAUUCUAAUGAUAUUCUUUCAACAAUUCGUAUUUUUUUUUCACGAUUGAUAUAUUUAAACCUUUCAAUAUGUCUAUCUAAAAUUCUUUGAUUGUGCGUAUGUAUAUUGUUGCCAAUGUCAUCUAAUAUAAGUAUACGAAGAAAAAAUUUAAGCUUAGCAACAACGCAAUUCGAAAGAAAAACUUUCUAAAGGGCGUCUCGAGGUUAAGAGUAACAAACAGAAAGAUCUCCCUUCGUCCGUCGCCCUCGGGAGGGUCUCGACUGGGGAGAGCCGACCUUCCUCAACGACCUUGGAGGGGUAAGGUCAAUUCAUACAGACGGAGUGAGUGACGUCAGUGUCUGAUCUUACAGGUCCACUAUUCACAAAUUCUUUUGCUUUUACUACAAUGAACACAACACUUCAAAGGGAAUUUUUCUAUCAAAUUUUUUGCAAAAGAAUUGGAAAAAUAGCUAGCGUAAAUUUAGCACUUAAUAAUAAACAACAUUAUGAAUUUUUGACGGAAACUCGAGGUACGAAGCUGUGUGAAUUAUUUUAUCUAUAUAUUAAUACGUGAAGCAAAAACUUUGUAGAUAUCCCUUUUUACGAAAAUUGCGCGGACGGAGGAGUAUAAAAUUUUCCACACUUAUAGAGAAUAUAGAGAAGAAGUGCACAAUGCUAAUAUUUUUUGAAGAUAAUGCAUAAAAGAUACAUUAAAUCAAUAAAGAAAACAUUACACACACUACUAUGUAUUUGACGCACACGCAUUCAUACUAUUUAUUUAUUGUCAAACUUUUGUUCUUGACGUCUGUGGUCAAAUUGAGAAUAGAUUAAAUAUUGUUUGUCUUUAUUAAUAUUUUUUUAUAGUGUAGUCUUGGCGAAAUUUGUGAUUAUAGAAGUAUAAUAAUAGUCUUUGAAAAUAGAAUCUUAAUAGUGUACAAACUUAUAAUUUCAAUUAAUUAUAGUCGAAUUUCGACUACUGCGGGACCACUAGUUUUGUUUAGUGUUGCUUCCGGUUCAAACGUGUAAUAACGAUGGUUUAUUAACUGCUUAGCAUCCAUAAAAGUGUUCAAAUGUGCGAAAACUAAACAAAAUCGCUGAACGUGAGUACUCGGAUUCGUCUGGCAACAAUGGUACCGUAAGAGUCCAAUUGCCAUUCUUAAAAAAAUAAGAAGAAAUGAACAUUAAAGUAACUACCUACACAUAAUUACAUUUUUGUAUAAUUUUUUUUCAUGAAAGUUGUGCUUAGACAUAGUUAGACAAGUCCUGAUGAAUCAAAUAAGCUAAAAUACGUGAGAUCCCGGAUCCUAUAGACAUCACCACACAAAAAUCAAUUUUAUAAGAAAUCAUUCACUAGAUGUGGUCAGCGGUUGCAUCAUGUUACCUACUGUAAUAUAGCGUAAUGCAUUCGGUCAAAUUUAAUUUAUAAAUAUCAAUCUAAGCAAGAAUGAAAAAUAGCCUAGGUCCAUCGCAAGAAAUAUCAUUACGGAAUUGUUUUGUUACCUUUAGGUAUUCUUCACAGGCGAGAAUUUUAUAUUUACAAAACUUUUUCUGUCAUUAAUCUUACCUUAGUUCGUCAAUGACCACGAAAAUUUGAAAGUAUUCGAAACAUUGGCAAUCAUGUAAUGAUAAUUAAAAAAACACGAAAUUAAACCAUAAAAAUUGUUUUAUAAAUAUGUCUACGUCUUUUAAUAAAUUAUGUAUAUAAUAUCUAAUUUCACGUUUGCUUCCUAGCAGCAGUACAGCACGUGCCUUCGAAAGAAGCGGUCACAGGUAAGAAAGUACAUGGCACUGUUUUUACAGGCGAACACACGGUCUGUCAGACGGUAAAUAUUCUCAUUCGCUCAUGACCUGGAACUUUUUUUGGGAAUGAAGUACUGUAGUUGACUCGGAGACAUUGCCGCCUCGGAUUAUCUUCGCUUGAAGUCCGUAACGUUUGAAGAAUGCAAUGCAGCACCUCAGACGCCGUGAGCCACUACGGGUCCCGUCUCCACCGAUUCCAGCUUCGACCCAGAACUCAGAUCUCAAGUUUGGAUAGAUUUUAUUACAUAAUAUAUUAUACUUACUUAUUACUGGUGGGAGGGCCUGUUGACCUGUCCACACGGGUAGAUACCACCGCCCUGCCUAUUUCUGCCGUGAAGAAAUGCGUUUCUGUUGGAAGGGCGGGGCAGCCGUUGUAGCUAUACGGAGCUAUCUUAUAUCGUAAGGUGGGUGGUGCAUUUACGUUCUAAAUGUCUAUGGGCUCCAGUAACCAUUUAACACCAUGCGGGCUGUGAGCUCGUCUGUCCAUCUAAUUAAUAAAUAAAAAUAAAAAAAAACUCCGGGAACAACUUUUUAUAGAUGAACAAGCUCACGGCCGGUCAAUACCAUUGUGCUUAGUGUGAGUUUUUUUAACGUUCUCGAUAACGUAAAAGUUAACACAAAUUUGUAUAGCGUUGGAACGCUUGCCUACGUUUGCCGCUAGGGGCGCUGUUCCAACUGCAUACACAUUUGAGUUAGCUUUUACGCUAUCCAGAACGUUAAAAAACUCGCACUAAGCACACGAAUGUGUGGACACCCAUAGACACAGCCCACUGAGUUUCUCGCCGAAUCUUCUCAGUGGGUCACUUUUCCGAUCCGAUGGUAGAUUCUUCGAAGCACUGCUCUUGCUAGGGCCAGUGCUAGCAACACUCCGGUUUGAGUCCCGCGAGCUUACCUACACGUCAAGGCGAAGCUGAAAUAACCUCUCAAGGCUAUCAGCAUUGGUAGAAAAAAAAAGUGGAGCCAACAUGGCAGUAGCGGAACAACGUGGACUAUUUACUGGAAACCUUAUGCAUCACCACGAGCAAGCAGUCACUCGCUUUAAGACAUGAGGUCAUAUUGAGUCAGUCGAAGUCUCAAAUGCAGUAUAACAUCAGAUCCACCCAUAUAUGGCUUAAUAACCCUCUAACCUUUCAAAUAUGGCGAUGUUUUCAAGGUCAGAGGUUCAGCUUCGUCAUUUUGCUAUUGGGAUAUCCCCAGUAGCAAAUAUUGAUAUCCUCAAUGUAGUAAUGUUGACAUUCACAACAGUUCUGAUAUAAAUGUACACCUAAAUAAACAAUUGAAUAUAUUAUAUCGAGUCAAAGAACAAACUCAAAUCAAUUAAUGCAAUGUAUACACAUACCUACACAAAAUUAUUACUGAGAAUUAUUCAUAUUUUAUAAUUAGUCCGAUAUGUUUUAGGCGACGACACGUCGUUUGCAAUCACGAGAACUGUGACUAUUCAAGAUUUCAGAAGAAUUCAAUUCUAUUCAUACAUCUGACGUCACAUUUCAAGUGACAUUCAGCCAAUAAUAUUUGUUAUUAUUUAUUAUAAUACAUAUUACAUUUAAUUAAACGUUCGUUUAAUAAACUUAGUUUAUUGUAUAA